UGGGGUGAAAAUUUUCCCAUAUAUCACAACAGAUUUGAACAGUGGCGGUAGGAUCUGUAAAUCCAAAGUGGGAAUUCCGUAACACUUGCCUACGAAGUGUGACAUUCCUACAAUACUCUUUAAUUUCCUUUGAAAUGUUUGGACACCAAAGGCCGGUGCUAUUGAAGUACAGAAUGCGUCACGGUGCAUUUCUCUAUUUCGACCACCUCGACCAAUAUGCUGGAUACAGAGUGGAACAUUGGGACUCUCAAAUUGUCCAUCACCACCAUACAUGCUGUAUCCGAAAAUUCUCUCAACCAGCUCAGAACCAUAUCCCACCCAAUCAAUGUUUCCACAGGAAUAAAUUAAGGUGGGUCGCUACUUGAGUGACGUCAUCACCGAUAGUUAUCUAUAUUCUUUUAGAAAUUUGAUCUUUACUGAUUAGACGCAGAACCUUGAGGAGUUUUAAAUAAUACUGCAUUGGUAGCAGACUACUAUGUAAUUGCAUGUUUAUGAGGUUUUGAUCUUUUACUAUUAUACGCUUCGGAAUAUUAUAUAUGUAUAAGCAUUGCAGUAUAUACAUGUCACACAGUUUUUACAAUCUUAUCAUAGAGAUAUUUUUUUGAAAUAAAGACUACUAUCGUUCAAAACAUACAAACUAGCCGACUAAGAAAAAUGUUUGAAGAGAAAAUUAUAUAUGACAUUUUUUCAUGGUCAUGUUAUUUGGGCAAA
Molecule: long non-coding RNA, 711 nt
Organism: Magallana angulata
Lineage: Eukaryota; Metazoa; Mollusca; Bivalvia; Ostreida; Ostreidae
Exons: 3
Source: RefSeq, a predicted model, not a curated record